Molecule: ribosomal RNA, 429 nt
Filed under: uncultured archaeon
Lineage: Archaea
Description: bacterial SSU rRNA
Rfam family: Archaeal small subunit ribosomal RNA
Source: RNAcentral
UACCUGCAGCUCAAGUGGUGGCCGCUAUUAUUGGGCCUAAAACGUUCGUAGCCGGCUGAGUAAAUGCUUGGGUAAAUCGUGCCGCUUAACGGUACGAAUUCCGAGUAGACUGCUUAGCUUGAGACCGGGAGAAGCUAGAGGUACUCCUGGGGUAGGGGUGAAAUCCUGUAAUCCUGGGGGGACCACCAGUGGCGAAGGCGUCUAGCUAGAACGGGUCUGACGGUGAGGGACGAAACCCUGGGGCGCAAACCGGAUUAGAUACCCGGGUAGUCCAGGGCGCAAACGCUGCUUGCUUGAUGUUAGCUGGGCUCCGAGCUCAGCUAGUGUCGGAGAGAAGUUGUUAAGCAAGCUGCCUGGGAAGUACGAUCGCAAGAUUGAAACUUAAAGGAAUUGGCGGGGGAGCACAGCAACGGGUGGAGCGUGCGGUUU